RNAcentral lists this ribosomal RNA (2528 nucleotides) under Escherichia coli. Its description in RNAcentral is "bacterial LSU rRNA". It matches the Rfam family "Bacterial large subunit ribosomal RNA", at positions 308 to 2826 of the family's 2925-position model. Lineage: Bacteria; Pseudomonadati; Pseudomonadota; Gammaproteobacteria; Enterobacterales; Enterobacteriaceae. The record is from RNAcentral.
GCCUGAAUCAGUGUGUGUGUUAGUGGAAGCGUCUGGAAAGGCGCGCGAUACAGGGUGACAGCCCCGUACACAAAAAUGCACAUACUGUGAGCUCGAUGAGUAGGGCGGGACACGUGGUAUCCUGUCUGAAUAUGGGGGGACCAUCCUCCAAGGCUAAAUACUCCUGACUGACCGAUAGUGAACCAGUACCGUGAGGGAAAGGCGAAAAGAACCCCGGCGAGGGGAGUGAAAAAGAACCUGAAACCGUGUACGUACAAGCAGUGGGAGCCUCUUUAUGGGGUGACUGCGUACCUUUUGUAUAAUGGGUCAGCGACUUAUAUUCUGUAGCAAGGUUAACCGAAUAGGGGAGCCGAAGGGAAACCGAGUCUUAACUGGGCGUUAAGUUGCAGGGUAUAGACCCGAAACCCGGUGAUCUAGCCAUGGGCAGGUUGAAGGUUGGGUAACACUAACUGGAGGACCGAACCGACUAAUGUUGAAAAAUUAGCGGAUGACUUGUGGCUGGGGGUGAAAGGCCAAUCAAACCGGGAGAUAGCUGGUUCUCCCCGAAAGCUAUUUAGGUAGCGCCUCGUGAAUUCAUCUCCGGGGGUAGAGCACUGUUUCGGCAAGGGGGUCAUCCCGACUUACCAACCCGAUGCAAACUGCGAAUACCGGAGAAUGUUAUCACGGGAGACACACGGCGGGUGCUAACGUCCGUCGUGAAGAGGGAAACAACCCAGACCGCCAGCUAAGGUCCCAAAGUCAUGGUUAAGUGGGAAACGAUGUGGGAAGGCCCAGACAGCCAGGAUGUUGGCUUAGAAGCAGCCAUCAUUUAAAGAAAGCGUAAUAGCUCACUGGUCGAGUCGGCCUGCGCGGAAGAUGUAACGGGGCUAAACCAUGCACCGAAGCUGCGGCAGCGACACUAUGUGUUGUUGGGUAGGGGAGCGUUCUGUAAGCCUGUGAAGGUGUACUGUGAGGUAUGCUGGAGGUAUCAGAAGUGCGAAUGCUGACAUAAGUAACGAUAAAGCGGGUGAAAAGCCCGCUCGCCGGAAGACCAAGGGUUCCUGUCCAACGUUAAUCGGGGCAGGGUGAGUCGACCCCUAAGGCGAGGCCGAAAGGCGUAGUCGAUGGGAAACAGGUUAAUAUUCCUGUACUUGGUGUUACUGCGAAGGGGGGACGGAGAAGGCUAUGUUGGCCGGGCGACGGUUGUCCCGGUUUAAGCGUGUAGGCUGGUUUUCCAGGCAAAUCCGGAAAAUCAAGGCUGAGGCGUGAUGACGAGGCACUACGGUGCUGAAGCAACAAAUGCCCUGCUUCCAGGAAAAGCCUCUAAGCAUCAGGUAACAUCAAAUCGUACCCCAAACCGACACAGGUGGUCAGGUAGAGAAUACCAAGGCGCUUGAGAGAACUCGGGUGAAGGAACUAGGCAAAAUGGUGCCGUAACUUCGGGAGAAGGCACGCUGAUAUGUAGGUGAAGCGACUUGCUCGUGGAGCUGAAAUCAGUCGAAGAUACCAGCUGGCUGCAACUGUUUAUUAAAAACACAGCACUGUGCAAACACGAAAGUGGACGUAUACGGUGUGACGCCUGCCCGGUGCCGGAAGGUUAAUUGAUGGGGUUAGCGGUAACGCGAAGCUCUUGAUCGAAGCCCCGGUAAACGGCGGCCGUAACUAUAACGGUCCUAAGGUAGCGAAAUUCCUUGUCGGGUAAGUUCCGACCUGCACGAAUGGCGUAAUGAUGGCCAGGCUGUCUCCACCCGAGACUCAGUGAAAUUGAACUCGCUGUGAAGAUGCAGUGUACCCGCGGCAAGACGGAAAGACCCCGUGAACCUUUACUAUAGCUUGACACUGAACAUUGAGCCUUGAUGUGUAGGAUAGGUGGGAGGCUUUGAAGUGUGGACGCCAGUCUGCAUGGAGCCGGCCUUGAAAUACCACCCUUUAAUGUUUGAUGUUCUAACGUUGGCCCCUGAUCGGGGUUGCGGACAGUGUCUGGUGGGUAGUUUGACUGGGGCGGUCUCCUCCUAAAGAGUAACGGAGGAGCACGAAGGUUGGCUAAUCCUGGUCGGACAUCAGGAGGUUAGUGCAAUGGCAUAAGCCAGCUUGACUGCGAGCGUGACGGCGCGAGCAGGUGCGAAAGCAGGUCAUAGUGAUCCGGUGGUUCUGAAUGGAAGGGCCAUCGCUCAACGGAUAAAAGGUACUCCGGGGAUAACAGGCUGAUACCGCCCAAGAGUUCAUAUCGACGGCGGUGUUUGGCACCUCGAUGUCGGCUCAUCACAUCCUGGGGCUGAAGUAGGUCCCAAGGGUAUGGCUGUUCGCCAUUUAAAGUGGUACGCGAGCUGGGUUUAGAACGUCGUGAGACAGUUCGGUCCCUAUCUGCCGUGGGCGCUGGAGAACUGAGGGGGGCUGCUCCUAGUACGAGAGGACCGGAGUGGACGCAUCACUGGUGUUCGGGUUGUCAUGCCAAUGGCACUGCCCGGUAGCUAAAUGCGGAAGAGAUAAGUGCUGAAAGCAUCUAAGCACGAAACUUGCCCCGAGAUGAGUUCUCCCUGACUCCUUGA